CGUCCUGUCUAUUCAUUUAAAAAAAAAAAAAAGGCGGCUUGUCCAAUGGCGGCUCUUUGUGCGGAGUGUCAGUGCCGAGGCCUUCCGUGUGUGUGUGAGCUGCGACUUUAGUUGACCAGGAUGGAACUACAGGAGGUGGAAGUCCUUCAGGACGACAUUCCAGCCUAAAAGAAAAGGGAUUUUGAAUGGAGUGGGUGAUUCUUUAUGCAGAGACGAGACGCGACACCUUCCAGACAGUGAGAGAUGGCAAGCCCUAAUAAUACAGAGCUAUACAAUGGUUCUGACAGGCGAGCAAUAAAGCAAUCAGGGUCCCAGGCAUUCCAAAUCUCUUUACCGCCCACCUCCUAACUGACUGAGAGAUGGACGGCUGACCUGUGGGCUGUCAAUCAUGGGGGGAUACCUGCUGUAGCCUGAUCAGGGGGAGCUGAGGGGCACCAGUCCAUCAGAUCUGUUUUCACACUCCAAACACUAGUGUUGCAAGCAUAACCACAGACACACAGAAAACCUACUGACUCACUCUUAAUUAGGAGAUGUGUGAUUUUCAUAGGUUGGGAGGGGGGUUGACUAGUUUGGUUUAAAUGUGUAUGGGUGUCUGAGAUGAUGUGAAUGUAAUCCCAGAGGGUGCGAGUAACCUUUUCCCUCGGUUUGGGAAUCAAGGACUGAUUUGUCAUGCUGUUUUGUACAAGAUCGAGGUCUUUCAGCAAGGCCUCCCAAUGCGUGUUUCCUGUCCUCACUUCAUGUAUAUGUGCCGUCUGAUAGGUGGCCAGUACUGAGGUUUCCAAAGUUCAUUAGCGGUCGGUAUCCCAUCCUAGCAAGUAGAUCACCAUAAUACUGUGGUUAGUUAAUGGCUUUCUGGUGUUUCCUCUUGAGUCUUCCCAUCUGUGGGAUGAAUGCUAAAACUCCUCCACUGUUUUUAUAUCUCUCUCCCCCCCCCCCCCUUUUCCAAGAGGGAGUUGUGUGUUCUGAUGCCGAGUAUCGACAGUUUGCUUUAGCCGUGCUGCAGCCAAGAAUGAGCAGUCUGGCCACAUGGACUCACAUUAAAGAAAUAACAGCAACAUCACAAAUAACGUGUCGAUCUGACAUUUUGUCUUCUGGAUCUCUGAUAUUUUAUUUGUACAAAGCAAUCUGUGGCAGGGUUUUUACAAAACCGUUGUAAAUAUUACAUAUUUUAUUGUUUGUAAGUUGUUAAUCACUAUGUCUACUAGAAGAUGUGUACUGGUAUGCCAUAAGCAUGAUUUGUUACGUGUUUUAGGUGCAAAGUCAUUGUCAUGUCAUGGACUAAAUUGUAUGAUUGACUAUGAUGCAAUUGCAUGUAAUUAUAAUGGAAGCUGUUAAACAAAGGAAUAAUAGUGUAUUGUGUGUCAGAGAGUAAAAAAGGAACUUUAAAACAAAUUAGUUAUAAAUUACCUAACUUUCUUCUAUCACUUCUUUUGGUCAUUUUUUUAAUAUAGGAUAGGGUAGCCAAUAAGACACAGCCAGAGGUGAGUGCUCUUGGAUGGGGGAGGGUCCCACGGCAGUACCCGGUCAGUUGACCGAUACGUGCUUUUAUAUCAUGUUUACCAGAAUUCAAUUCACUAGAUUGGUCGCUUCUCCUCCGUAUAAUUAUCUUGAAGGCCAAGUGUGUUUGACAUCUGUAAAGAAUAUGGAUGGGAACUUAUAUAAUCAUGUUUCAUCAAAUAUAAUAAGGUUGUUCCCCCUCGGGGAGACUGCAUAACACGCGGCACACUGGCAAAGCUUAACCUUUAUUUACUAUAACAAUUUACAAAGUUAAUACAGUUUGCGUCUCUUUCUUC
Molecule: RNA transcript, 1793 nt
Organism: Nerophis ophidion (straightnose pipefish)
Lineage: Eukaryota; Metazoa; Chordata; Actinopteri; Syngnathiformes; Syngnathidae
Gene name: protein enabled homolog
Exons: 3
Source: RefSeq, a predicted model, not a curated record